Molecule: ribosomal RNA, 468 nt
Filed under: uncultured bacterium
Lineage: Bacteria
Description: partial 16S ribosomal RNA
Rfam family: Bacterial small subunit ribosomal RNA
Source: RNAcentral
GACGAACGCUGGCGGCGUGCUUAACACAUGCAAGUCGAACGGAAAGGCCCUGCUUUUGUGGGGUUCUCGAUUGGCGAACGGGUGAGUAACACGUGAGUAACCUGCCCUUGACUUUGUGAUAACUUCAGGAAACUUGGGCUAAUACCUGAUAGGAGCUCCUGCUGCAUGGUGUGGUUUGGAAAGUUUCGGCGGUUGGGGAUGGACUCGCUGGUUAUCAGCUUGUUGUUGGGGUAGUGGCUUACCAAGGGUUUGACGGGUAGGCGGCCUGUGAGGGUUACCGGAGACAAGGGGACUGAGAUACGGCGCAGACGCCAACGGGAGGCAGAAGUGGGGAAUAUUGCACAAUGGGCGGAAGCCUGAUGCAGCAACGCCGCGUGCGGGAUGACGGCCUUCGGGUUGUAAACCGCUUUAGCAUGUGACGAAGCGUGAGUGACGGUAAUGGGUAAAGAAGCACCGGCUAACUACGUG